Molecule: ribosomal RNA, 460 nt
Filed under: uncultured bacterium
Lineage: Bacteria
Description: partial 16S ribosomal RNA
Rfam family: Bacterial small subunit ribosomal RNA
Source: RNAcentral
CCUACGGGUGGCAGCAGUGAGGAAUAUUGGUCAAUGGGCGUAAGCCUGAACCAGCCAAGUAGCGUGAGGGAUGACGGUCCUACGGAUCGUAAACCUCUUUUAUAAGGGAAUAAAGUGAGGGACGUGUCCCGUUUUGUAUGUACCUUAUGAAUAAGGAUCGGCUAACUCCGUGCCAGCAGCCGCGGUAAUACGGAGGAUCCGAGCGUUAUCCGGAUUUAUUGGGUUUAAAGGGUGCGUAGGCGGGGUGUUAAGUCAGUUGUGAAAGUUUGUGGCUCAACCAUAGAAUUGCAGUUGCGACUGGGAGGCUUGAGUACGUUUGAGGCAGGCGGAAUGCGUGGUGUAGCGGUGAAAUGCUUAGAUAUCACGCAGAACCCCGAUUGCGAAGGCAGCUUGCCAAGCCAUGACUGACGCUGAUGCACGAAAGCGUGGGGAUCAAACAGGAUUAGAUACCCGAGUAGUC